RNAcentral lists this long non-coding RNA (443 nucleotides) under Equus caballus (horse). Its description in RNAcentral is "lncRNA (ENSECAG00000045318.1)". The record is from RNAcentral. Lineage: Eukaryota; Metazoa; Chordata; Mammalia; Perissodactyla; Equidae.
GUGAAAACACAGAGAACUGAAAGAAUCCUAUCUGACUUCUUUUUGUUUACACAGCUGUUUCAAAUGUAUGCUAUAUCAAACAAGGAAUCAAAAGUUCAGAGAGUCAAGCUCCCUCACUCCUCCUUAGAGGGAUGACAUCCCAAAUAUAUUACCUUUGCCCAAGACUAUGUCGUAGGUGAUUCUGCUUUUGGAGAAACACAAUCUAAGCCCCCCAGUACAUAGUUGUAUAUUCUUAGUUGUGGAUCCUUCUAGUUGUGGCAUGUGGGAUGCUGCCUCAGCAUGGCUUGAUGAGCGGUGCCAUGUCUGCGCCCAGGAUUUGAAUCAAUGAAACACUGGGCAGCCUGCAGCAGAGUGCCUGAACUUAACCACUCAGCCACGGGGCUGGCCCCUCCAGCUUUAUUGAGUUAACUUGCUUAAAUUACAGAAAAAUCAAUAUUACCCAA